Lontra canadensis (Northern American river otter) is the source of this 517-nucleotide long non-coding RNA. RefSeq lists it as uncharacterized. NCBI's taxonomy places the organism in Eukaryota, Metazoa, Chordata, Mammalia, Carnivora, Mustelidae. The transcript is spliced from 3 exons. The record is from RefSeq and is a predicted model, not a curated record.
UCCUCCUCACUCCACCCGGGGCCAAGACCCUUUCAGCAGCACGAGGCCUGGUUAACAUAUGACUCUGGCUGCAUUACCGCGUGGCAUCCCAGCACCCAUUUGAACAUUUCAGCAAUUUUAAACAAGCUCCGCUGACAGGGACUAUUACACUGAAGCCAAAGAAGCACACAGGGAGAGCACAUUAAUUAUGAGCACGAGAGAAAAUGCUUCUGCAAGAAGGAAUUAAUGAAGAGAACUGCAAAAGAAUGUGUGACGACCUCUCCUGACACGGCAAAAACUUUCCACCCAUGUCACGACAAAGGGGAGAAGAUAUUUUGUUGAGCACCAAAGAUUUGCCAAUAACGUCUGUCACAAUACAGUGAUUAAACAGAUACGGUUGCUGCCCUCAUGGAAGCUAAAGUUUAUUUGAAGAAACACUUAAACAAGCAUCGUGAAAAAUGCUUAGAUGCCAACUGUUUUUCUUUCAUUGAAAUAUAUCAUUAGCCUAUCAGUAUUCAAUAAAUGCUUUGCUUUACAU